UUUGUUUGGCUUUCUGGUCAAUAAUCAAAAUAUUGAAUGAAAUAAUAUCAAACUUGUAUUUGAUAGGGUUACCUAUGAAUAAACUUACCAACGUUGAUGAUAUAUGACCCCAAAAAAAAAAGUAAAGGAAAAAAAAAAAGUCAUAAAUAUAGAGAGCUUUGAACAAUCUUUAUGUGGAAGAAUUUAAUAGUUUCGAAACAUAUAGUAACCUUAACUUAAAUCAUCUCUAACCUUAAUUAAAGACUUGACUUAAUA
RNAcentral lists this long non-coding RNA (255 nucleotides) under Capsella rubella. RNAcentral's name for it is "long non-coding RNA (CRUB_LNC001952)". Lineage: Eukaryota; Viridiplantae; Streptophyta; Magnoliopsida; Brassicales; Brassicaceae. The record is from RNAcentral.